CAGCAGCCGCGGUGAUACGUAGGGUGCGAGCGUUGUCCGGAUUUAUUGGGCGUAAAGAGCUUGUAGGCGGUUGGUUGCGUCGAAAGUGCAAACUCAGGGCUUAACUCUGAGCCUGCUUUCGAUACGGGCUGACUGGAGGAAGGUAGGGGAGAAUGGAAUUCCCGGUGGAGCGGUGGAAUGCGCAGAUAUCGGGAGGAACACCAGUGGCGAAGGCGGUUCUCUGGACCUUUCCUGACGCUGAGAAGCGAAAGCGUGGGGAGCAAACAGGCUUAGAUACCCUGGUAGUCCACGCUGUAAACGGUGGGUACUAGGUGUGGGGGACAUUCCACGUUCUCUGUGCCGUAGCUAACGCAUUAAGUACCCCGCCUGGGGAGUACGGCCGCAAGGCUAAAACUCAAAGGAAUUGACGGGGCCCCGCACAAGCGGCGGAGCAUGCGGAUUAAUUCGAUGCAACGCGAAGAACCUUACCUGGGUUUGACAUAUAUCGGAAACGUUCAGAGAUGGGCGCCCCGUAAGGUCGGUAUACAGGAGGUGCAUGGCC
RNAcentral lists this ribosomal RNA (541 nucleotides) under uncultured archaeon. Its description in RNAcentral is "bacterial SSU rRNA". It matches the Rfam family "Bacterial small subunit ribosomal RNA", at positions 509 to 1050 of the family's 1533-position model. The record is from RNAcentral.